RNAcentral lists this ribosomal RNA (490 nucleotides) under uncultured bacterium. RNAcentral's name for it is "partial 16S ribosomal RNA". It matches the Rfam family "Bacterial small subunit ribosomal RNA", at positions 30 to 507 of the family's 1533-position model. The record is from RNAcentral.
AUUGAACGCUGGCGGCAGGCCUAACACAUGCAAGUCGAACGGUAACAGGAAGACGCUUGCUUCUUUGCUGACGAGUGGCGGACGGGUGAGUAAUGUCUGGGAAACUGCCUGAUGGAGGGGGAUAACUACUGGAAACGGUAGCUAAUACCGCAUAACGUCGCAAGCCCAAAGAGGGGGACCUUCGGGCCUCUUUCCAUCGGAUGUGCCCAGAUGGGAUUAGCUAGUAGGUGGGGUAACGGCUCACCUAGGCGACGAUCCCUAGCUGGUCUGAGAGGAUGACCAGCCACACUGGAACUGAGACACGGUCCAGACUCCUACGGGAGGCAGCAGUGGGGAAUAUUGCACAAUGGGCGCAAGCCUGAUGCAGCCAUGCCGCGUGUAUGAAGAAGGCCUUCGGGUUGUAAAGUACUUUCAGCGGGGAGGAAGGGAGUAAAGUUAAUACCUUUGCUCAUUGACGUUACCCGCAGAAGAAGCACCGGCUAACUCCGUG